This 491-nucleotide ribosomal RNA is filed under the name uncultured bacterium. RNAcentral describes it as "partial 16S ribosomal RNA". It matches the Rfam family "Bacterial small subunit ribosomal RNA", at positions 29 to 507 of the family's 1533-position model. The record is from RNAcentral.
AGUGAACGCUGGCGGUAGGCCUAACACAUGCAAGUCGAACGGCAGCACAGUAAGAGCUUGCUCUUACGGGUGGCGAGUGGCGGACGGGUGAGGAAUACAUCGGAAUCUACUUUUUCGUGGGGGAUAACGUAGGGAAACUUACGCUAAUACCGCAUACGACCUACGGGUGAAAGCAGGGGAUCUUCGGACCUUGCGCGAUUGAAUGAGCCGAUGUCGGAUUAGCUAGUUGGCGGGGUAAAGGCCCACCAAGGCGACGAUCCGUAGCUGGUCUGAGAGGAUGAUCAGCCACACUGGAACUGAGACACGGUCCAGACUCCUACGGGAGGCAGCAGUGGGGAAUAUGGACAAUGGGCGCAAGCCUGAUCCAGCCAUACCGCGUGGGUGAAGAAGGCCUUCGGGUUGUAAAGCCCUUUUGUUGGGAAAGAAAAGCAGCAGGUUAAUACCCCGCUGUUCUGACGGUACCCAAAGAAUAAGUACCGGCUAACUUCGUG